RNAcentral lists this ribosomal RNA (738 nucleotides) under Enterococcus sp. GlucSH51. RNAcentral's name for it is "bacterial SSU rRNA". It matches the Rfam family "Bacterial small subunit ribosomal RNA", at positions 599 to 1336 of the family's 1533-position model. Lineage: Bacteria; Bacillati; Bacillota; Bacilli; Lactobacillales; Enterococcaceae. The record is from RNAcentral.
GCCCCCCGGCUCAACCCGGGGAGGGUCAUUGGAAACUGGGAGACUUGAGUGCAGAAGAGGAGAGUGGAAUUCCAUGUGUAGCGGUGAAAUGCGUAGAUAUAUGGAGGAACACCAGUGGCGAAGGCGGCUCUCUGGUCUGUAACUGACGCUGAGGCUCGAAAGCGUGGGGAGCGAACAGGAUUAGAUACCCUGGUAGUCCACGCCGUAAACGAUGAGUGCUAAGUGUUGGAGGGUUUCCGCCCUUCAGUGCUGCAGCAAACGCAUUAAGCACUCCGCCUGGGGAGUACGACCGCAAGGUUGAAACUCAAAGGAAUUGACGGGGGCCCGCACAAGCGGUGGAGCAUGUGGUUUAAUUCGAAGCAACGCGAAGAACCUUACCAGGUCUUGACAUCCUUUGACCACUCUAGAGAUAGAGCUUCCCCUUCGGGGGCAAAGUGACAGGUGGUGCAUGGUUGUCGUCAGCUCGUGUCGUGAGAUGUUGGGUUAAGUCCCGCAACGAGCGCAACCCUUAUUGUUAGUUGCCAUCAUUUAGUUGGGCACUCUAGCGAGACUGCCGGUGACAAACCGGAGGAAGGUGGGGAUGACGUCAAAUCAUCAUGCCCCUUAUGACCUGGGCUACACACGUGCUACAAUGGGAAGUACAACGAGUUGCGAAGUCGCGAGGCUAAGCUAAUCUCUUAAAGCUUCUCUCAGUUCGGAUUGUAGGCUGCAACUCGCCUACAUGAAGCCGGAAUCGCU